CAUAUCAAUAAGCGGAGGAAAAGAAACCAACAGGGAUUGCCCUAGUAACGGCGAGUGAAGCGGCAACAGCUCAAAUUUGAAAUCUGGCGCAAGCCCGAGUUGUAAUUUGUAGAGGAUGCUUCAGGGCAGCGGCCGGUCUAAGUUCCUUGGAACAGGACGUCAUAGAGGGUGAGAAUCCCGUAUGCGACCGGUUGGCACCCGUCACGUAGCUCCUUCGACGAGUCGAGUUGUUUGGGAAUGCAGCUCUAAAUGGGAGGUAAAUUUCUUCUAAAGCUAAAUACCGGCCAGAGACCGAUAGCGCACAAGUAGAGUGAUCGAAAGAUGAAAAGCACUUUGGAAAGAGAGUUAAAAAGCACGUGAAAUUGUUGAAAGGGAAGCGCAUGCAACCAGACUUGUCGGCGGUGUUCCGCCGGUCUUCUGACCGGAUUACUCGCCGCCGACAGGCCAGCAUCAUCUGGGCGCGCCGGAUAAAGGCGCGGGGAAUGUAGCUCCUCGGAGUGUUAUAGCCCCGCGCACAAUACGGCGCCGCCCGGGUGAGGUCCGCGCUUCGGCUAGGAUGCUGGCGUAAUGGUUGUCUGCGGCCCGUCUUGAAACACGGACCAAGGAGUCUAACAUCUAUGCGAGUGUUCGGGUGUCAAACCCCUACGCGUAAUGAAAGUGAACGGAGGUGGGAAGCGCAAGCUGCACCAUCGACCGAUCCUGAUGUCUUCGGAUGGAUUUGAGUAAGAGCAUAGCUGUUGGGACCCGAAAGAUGGUGAACUAUGCCUGAAUAGGGUGAAGCCAGAGGAAACUCUGGUGGAGGCUCGCAGCGGUUCUGACGUGCAAAUCGAUCGUCAAAUUUGGGUAUAGGGGCGAAAGACUAAUCGAACCAUCUAGUAGCUGGUUCCUGCCGAA
Molecule: ribosomal RNA, 894 nt
Filed under: Teratosphaeria alboconidia
Lineage: Eukaryota; Fungi; Ascomycota; Dothideomycetes; Mycosphaerellales; Teratosphaeriaceae
Description: LSU rRNA
Rfam family: Eukaryotic large subunit ribosomal RNA
Source: RNAcentral